AGCGGCGGACGGGUGAGUAAUGUCUGGGAAACUGCCUGAUGGAGGGGGAUAACUACUGGAAACGGUAGCUAAUACCGCAUAACGUCGCAAGACCAAAGUGGGGGACCUUCGGGCCUCAUGCCAUCAGAUGUGCCCAGAUGGGAUUAGCUAGUAGGUGAGGUAAUGGCUCACCUAGGCGACGAUCCCUAGCUGGUCUGAGAGGAUGACCAGCCACACUGGAACUGAGACACGGUCCAGACUCCUACGGGAGGCAGCAGUGGGGAAUAUUGCACAAUGGGCGCAAGCCUGAUGCAGCCAUGCCGCGUGUAUGAAGAAGGCCUUCGGGUUGUAAAGUACUUUCAGCGAGGAGGAAGGCGUUAAGGUUAAUAACCUUGGCGAUUGACGUUACUCGCAGAAGAAGCACCGGCUAACUCCGUGCCAGCAGCCGCGGUAAUACGGAGGGUGCAAGCGUUAAUCGGAAUUACUGGGCGUAAAGCGCACGCAGGCGGUCUGUCAAGUCGGAUGUGAAAUCCCCGGGCUCAACCUGGGAACUGCAUCCGAAACUGGCAGGCUAGAGUCUUGUAGAGGGGGGUAGAAUUCCAGGUGUAGCGGUGAAAUGCGUAGAGAUCUGGAGGAAUACCGGUGGCGAAGGCGGCCCCCUGGACAAAGACUGACGCUCAGGUGCGAAAGCGUGGGGGAGCAAACAGGAUUAGAUACCCUGGUAGUCCACGCUGUAAACGAUGUCGACUUGGAGGUUGUUCCCUUGAGGAGUGGCUUCCGGAGCUAACGCGUUAAGUCGACCGCCUGGGGAGUACGGCCGCAAGGGUUAAAACUCAAAUGAAUUGACGGGGGCCCGCACAAGCGGUGGAGCAUGUGGUUUAAUUCGAUGCA
This 870-nucleotide ribosomal RNA is filed under the name uncultured Raoultella sp. RNAcentral's name for it is "bacterial SSU rRNA". It matches the Rfam family "Bacterial small subunit ribosomal RNA", at positions 94 to 958 of the family's 1533-position model. Lineage: Bacteria; Pseudomonadati; Pseudomonadota; Gammaproteobacteria; Enterobacterales; Enterobacteriaceae. The record is from RNAcentral.